CGAUUCGCCCUUCGGGGUGCAGCAGGCGCGAAAACUUUACAAUGCCGGCAACGGCGAUAAGGGAACCUCGAGUGCCAGGUUACAAAUCUGGCUGUCGUGAUGCCUAAAAAGCAUUGCAUAGCAAGGGCCGGGCAAGACCGGUGCCAGCCGCCGCGGUAACACCGGCGGCUCGAGUGGUAACCGUUAUUAUUGGGUCUAAAGGGUCUGUAGCCGGCCGGGUAAGUCUCUUGGGAAAUCUGGCAGCUUAACUGUCAGGCUUUCAGGAGAUACUGCCUGGCUCGAGGCCGGGAGAGGUGAGAGGUACUUCAGGGGUAGGGGUGAAAUCUUGUAAUCCUUGAAGGACCACCAGUGGCGAAGGCGUCUCACCAGAACGGACCUGACGGCAAGGGACGAAAGCUAGGGGCACGAACCGGAUUAGAUACCCGGGUAGUCCUAGCCGUAAACGAUACUCGCUAGGUGUCGGCCACGGUGCGACCGUGGUCGGUGCCGUAGGGAAGCCGUGAAGCGAGCCACCUGGGAAGUACGGCCGCAAGGCUGAAACUUAAAGGAAUUGGCGGGGGAGCAC
Molecule: ribosomal RNA, 565 nt
Filed under: uncultured archaeon
Lineage: Archaea
Description: bacterial SSU rRNA
Rfam family: Archaeal small subunit ribosomal RNA
Source: RNAcentral